This 331-nucleotide unclassified non-coding RNA is filed under the name soil metagenome. RNAcentral describes it as "partial contains 5.8S ribosomal RNA, internal transcribed spacer 2, and large subunit ribosomal RNA". The stretch from base 1 to 120 matches the Rfam family "5.8S ribosomal RNA", at positions 35 to 154 of the family's 154-position model. The record is from RNAcentral.
GAUGAAGAACUCAUCGAAAUGCGAUAAGUAAUGUGAAUUGCAGAAUUCAGUGAAUCAUCGAAUCUUUGAACGCACAUUGCGCCCCUUGGUAUUCCGAGGGGCAUGCCUGUUCGAGCGUCAUUUCAACCCUCAAGCUCUGCUUGGUCUUGGGCCUGGCCGUGAUGGCCGGUCUUAAAAUCAGUGGCGGUGCCGUCGCAGGCUCCAAGCGUAGUACAUCUCUCGCUCUGGAAACUUGGCGGUGCCUGCCAGACAACCCCUAAUUGUCUCUUUCGGUUGACCUCGGAUCAGGUAGGGAUACCCGCUGAACUUAAGCAUAUCAAUAAGCGGAGGA